RNAcentral lists this transfer RNA (54 nucleotides) under Equus sp. RNAcentral's name for it is "partial tRNA-Trp". The record is from RNAcentral. Lineage: Eukaryota; Metazoa; Chordata; Mammalia; Perissodactyla; Equidae.
AGGAAUUUAGGUUAACAUCCCAGACCAAGAGCCUUCAAAGCUCUAANCAANUGA